GGAGAAGCCCACAAAUGAAUCUCGGUUUCCAUUUUGAAGUUAUAGUUGUUGUACUGAAAGAAAAGGAACUCUCUUCUCUGCGAAAACACAAUGGAAAUACAGUUGCGAGGAGAGGGCUCGGCUGCUCCGACGCCUCAAGGUGCACGAGAGAUCCAACGCCCUUGGUGCUGGCAAGGCG
This is a long non-coding RNA of Triticum dicoccoides, 178 nucleotides long. RefSeq lists it as uncharacterized. The transcript is spliced from 3 exons. NCBI's taxonomy places the organism in Eukaryota, Viridiplantae, Streptophyta, Magnoliopsida, Poales, Poaceae. The record is from RefSeq and is a predicted model, not a curated record.